RNAcentral lists this long non-coding RNA (1498 nucleotides) under Mytilus galloprovincialis (Mediterranean mussel). Lineage: Eukaryota; Metazoa; Mollusca; Bivalvia; Mytilida; Mytilidae. The record is from RNAcentral.
GUGUGGUAUGAGUGCCAAUGAGAAAAUAGUCCAUCAGUUUCGAUGCCAAACAUCACAGUAUAUUUAAGUCUUAGCAUUAUUUAUGUUGAAUUUCAUUUGUUAUCCUGUAUCACAAUUGUUUUAAAUAUACUGUUAUGUUUGGAAUACAAAAUAUAAUUGCUAUAUGUUAACUUUAUUUCUAAGCUGGCACUCACAUUUAAAUAUUUUUCUAUCUUUGUGUUGGUAAAUAAAUGCAUUUGUCUUACAUUCAGGCUAAGACUAGAACUGUAACUUAUCAUUUGUUGAUUUGUACUCAUUCGUUCACUUGUUUAUGAUCCUUUUUAUAUUUCCAGUGAGAUAAUGCCGGGCGAUAUAUCAGGCCCAGAUUUACAACUAGCUAGACCAAAGACAAGUCCAGCAGCUAUUACUAGAACCGGAAGAAGAGGAAAAUCAAAACAGGAGGAAUCAACUCCGGAAUAUCAUGUUGAAUUACUUGAAUACGAAUGGCCUGAUUUACCACCGAUUCCGCAUAUGAAAGAUGCAAUAACAAGAGAGAAAGUAAGCAAGGGUAUCAGUUACCUCUUACCAAUUGAUAAAGCUAAAAACUCGAUUGAUAACAAAUACAGAACGGACCUCAGGGCCAUGUUUCAAGAGCCGUAUGCUAAUGACGACCUUGGAUACGAUGAUAGCAAGGUCAAACUUAGUGCGCAUGUACAUUUUGAUACAAAUGCCGUGGACACAAAAUGGUCAAAAUCUUUACUGAAGCAAAUACCUGUAGAAAUCAAUUCAGAUUCUGAUAAAUUUAGGAAAUUGUAUGCACGUUCAGCGCCAAUUGGGCGCUCAAAAACAAUGGGUUUGGAUACGGACAAAAUAAGAACCCGAUCAUGCCGUUAUCUACCAAUGAAAACAGUUCAACAUCCUGAAGCUAUGGAACUCCGACAGGAAGUAGAAAAAAUAAUCAGAACUGUAUAUAGUGAUAAUGAGGAUAGCGAUGUUGAGACGGAGGUGGGGGAUACCAACGCCUCCCGUCAUGGCAGGCGGUUUUCACUUUAUCCUAGACGAGUUUCUGAGUAUAGACCACGUUUAAAUACAGAAACUGAUAGCUACCAGUCUAUUAAGCCGCCACGUUUAAAACUAACAGCGGAUAAAUUUAAUAGUUAUGAACAAUUGAAAUUCACGAAACCACCUAAAGCAGUGAUACCGGAACUAUUUAUAUGUAAACAUAUUAAAAAAGAACGUGCUCAAGAAAUUUGGGAAUGGUUACAUUACGGGGAAGAAAUGUCAGAAUUUGAAUAUUUUCUAUCUGUAUGUGGGUAAAUAAAUGCAUUUGUUACAUAAAGUUUGUUGUGGACGACUUUUUCAGAAUGUAUAUGCAAAGUACACCAGAAAGUCCCAACCCAUAGCCCUCAUAUCCAUGGACUAUAUUGAAUGGGCAUUUAUCGUCAGUCUUAAAUUACAAUUUAAGGAUCAAAAUGGACAAGUACAUAUGCAUUCUAUUAAGUAGAAACUGAAACCUUUU